GUAACUAAGGGUCCUUGACUUCUUGGAUGAUAGGCUUGGCAGCAAGCCAGGAAAAUAGUGAUAAUUUAGAGAGAGGGAUCGUGUACAAUAUUUUAAUGAUCCAAUAUUAUCUACUUAACUCCAUCAGGAGGGAGAAAUAGGAAAUGGUGAGCCAUUUUUAUGAAACAUGUAAUUAGUUCUGGAAAAGUUUGGUAUAGCUGUCUGAUCUUACUAGAACAAAGCAAGAGGGAUUUGGCUUCUAUUGGUACUUCUGGACUUGGGAGUGCAUACGGAGAGUGCUGCUCUGCAGAACUCAAGUCUAAAGAGGUCCUUUUCUGGGACAGUUAAAACAAACAACAACAAGCCCUUGCCACGCUCCCAGACUACUGCCUCACCAGGAUGGAGCUCUUAUGCAUUAUACAUGUUAAACAUCUCCUAUUCAGAGCUAACUUUGACUUUGUGCCCUGGGCCAGUCGACUUUUUGGCAAAAUACUGCAUCUUCAGCCAGGAGAAGUUGGCAAAGUACAAAAGGGCUUUUGAAGCGACUGCUUCCCUCUGCUGGCCCUCUCCAUUGUCUAACGCAUCAUUCAAACACAGACUGUAAUGCAUGCUGGGAUCUUUGAAAAGGAC
Molecule: long non-coding RNA, 609 nt
Filed under: Coturnix japonica (Japanese quail)
Lineage: Eukaryota; Metazoa; Chordata; Aves; Galliformes; Phasianidae
Description: lncRNA (ENSCJPG00005020360.1)
Source: RNAcentral